AUGGUACAGCUGGAGGGAGGUGAGGGCGGCGCACCAGCGCUCGGUGGGCCCGCACCCCUCGGCCCAGGCUGCCGUCCUGCCGCCCAGCCCCGUGCCCUGCCCCCUGCGCACCGCGGCCCCGGCCUCCCCGCGGGCUCCCGGGGUGGGGCUCCCGGGUGGGGGGCCAGCGCCUGCACACUCUGCACCCCGGCUGCAGAAGCAGCGCCCUGCCCCCCCCCCCCCCCCCCCCCCCCCCCGGGGCCCAGAGCCGCCCUCCUCCGUGCACCCGCUGAGCCGGAGCCCCAAGUGUUCGGGCCUGGCCCUCCCCUGCGGGCCCCGCCUCCGCCGCCCACAGCGCCCCCUCAGGGCCCCUCCCCGCGGAGCUCCCCCUCACCUUGCCCCCCCGGCACCCCUCCCAGGCCCUCCCGCCAGCCCCCCAGGCGGCCCGCUCCCGAUCCUCGGGACCGCCCCCCCGCCCCCAGGAUGCCCCCGCCCCGGAGGAAGGGGCGAGGUGGGCCCGGGCCGGUGUGGGAGCCGCGCACUAGCCGGGCCCGCAGCGGGCGGGGGUGCGGGGGGCGGGGGGGGCGGGGGCGCUGCGAGUGCGCGGCUCUUCGAAGGUCGUCGGUAACGCUCUCGGCUGAGCUGGGCGCUGGCGUUGACCUCUUAACAAAGAACAGGAGAAAAGAAUCUCCAGAGAAAGUGGGCAAGCUGUCAGGAAAAUAAGAUGAACACAUGGUACCGAUCCAAAUGGAGAGCCUGUGAGAAGCUGAUGACUGUCCAUGGAAUUCUGGAGACUUUACAAGUCUUCCUCAUGCCUCUGCGUGUAAUUGAAGCUAUAUGAAAAUAUAGUUGAAAUGAGAAGAAAAACAUGGAGAACUUUGAAGAUUUUGGUGUCUUCAAUUGGGGUGGAAUUAUUUCAGCCUCCUCUUGGAUUUUAAUACUCAUUUGACCACAGUGGUGUGCACACAGUUUUAAAAUUUUUUUCGUGCCCCCUAAAAGAUAACCCUCAUUCUGCACAGAAACAUCUUUUGAGUGAUCAUUGAAUAAUGGAUUGAUGGCAAGGUGCUUCGAAUCUUGAGUUCUGCAAGUAAAUUAAUUUGAAAGAGAAUGACAUAAAGCUUCUCUGUUCUUUCUGUGAGAAAGUUUCUCCCAGAUGAUUUUUCAAGAUGAGUAAAAGGAAAAGUGCAUAAUUGUAGCUGUCACUAGAUCAUUUUCUCCUUCGUUUUUUUUUGGGUCUAUUCUUACCUGUUCAAAUUGUGUAGACAGCUUUGAUCAUGCUACAAUUGCCAAGCGGUUCACUCAUCUGCCGAGUCCCCCGACUGCCAAACCACACCGUUCUCUCGCCUGAUGACACUGUUCCACACUAUCUGAUGUUCAUCCAAUGCUUUGAACUCUGCUAGCGUUGCCUUCAGAAGAGAACAUGUUCAGAAAGCUCCAUGAUGGACAAUAUUGAAUUGUGUCACCAAGUUUUUUGAGUAUAGGAAACAGAACACACAGGGCUUGGUUUUCACCACUCAGAUUUGUAUGUGGAUUCCCAGACAGCUCUCAUGUUCUAAAAUUACUCUGGUCAUCUCACUGUGCAUUGCCUAGCUCUGCACUUCAAGGCUUCCAGAAGUGUUGGCCUACUUUCCUGGAAGCGAAAAGGAGAUGGUCAUUAUUUAUUAGUUUUCCAUAGGAAGAAGAAGGGUUACCUGUAGUCCACUUUUACUGUGAGUGAUCAUUGGGUGGACUCUUCCUUUUUUGUGCAAGGCGUGCCAGUGUAUUAGUGGGACAACACACAUUUUUUUUAAGUAAAACCUUCUGAAGAGGAAGAUGGCGUCUACAUUUCAAGUUCGUAGGUUCAUUAGUUGGUGGUGGCAUUGCAGACUCGUACUAUGGGGACACAGCCUUCGCCUUCUGUGUGACACCUGGCAGCCCUUGGGCUGGAUGAAUUUAGCAUUAAUUGAUCUCCAAGGCCAUCGAGUGUGUGCACACCAGCAAUUUUCAAAAUCAAUUACAGGCUGACUUGAGGCACCCAAGCAGAGCGGAGGCCCUAGGAAAACGUUCCCUCCAUUCGCUCCCUGCCACUUGAAAUUUUACUGAGGAGGAAGAUUCAGGGCCUGAGGCGGAAGUGACCAGAUAAAAUCGGGACAGCCAGUUGACAGGUGAAUUUCAGGUAUGUGACAAAUGAUGUUUUAUGUCCCCCAAAUUACUCGGUAUAUACUUUGCAUGAGCAAAACGUGCAUUAUCUCACAUUCCACUUGAGUGAAGCUGGAGCCUUCACUGAAAAAUUCAUCCUUUUUCUUCCCUUUCUCUUUUCACUUAGCAAGCCCUUUAGAGCUGCAGGGACCAAUGUCAUGGCCACUAGUCAGUCACAAGUGGCUACCAAGCUCUUGAACUGUGGCUAAUCUGAAAUGCUAUAUGAGGUACACUUCUGAGAAUUUGUACGAAGGAAGAAAAAAGACGAUUUCUCAUGAAUAACUUCAGUAUUGAUCAUAUGAUAAAAUGACACUAUUUACAUAUAUUGGGCUA
This 2490-nucleotide long non-coding RNA is filed under the name Canis lupus familiaris (dog). RNAcentral's name for it is "lncRNA (ENSCAFG00845025302.1)". The record is from RNAcentral. Lineage: Eukaryota; Metazoa; Chordata; Mammalia; Carnivora; Canidae.